This is a non-coding RNA of Dipodomys ordii (Ord's kangaroo rat), 60 nucleotides long. NCBI's taxonomy places the organism in Eukaryota, Metazoa, Chordata, Mammalia, Rodentia, Heteromyidae. The record is from Rfam.
GUAGCUCAGUGGUAGAGUGCUUGCCUUGCAUGCAUGAGGCCCUGGGUUCGAUUCCUCAGC